RNAcentral lists this ribosomal RNA (465 nucleotides) under uncultured Klebsiella sp. RNAcentral describes it as "bacterial SSU rRNA". It matches the Rfam family "Bacterial small subunit ribosomal RNA", at positions 338 to 795 of the family's 1533-position model. The record is from RNAcentral. Lineage: Bacteria; Pseudomonadati; Pseudomonadota; Gammaproteobacteria; Enterobacterales; Enterobacteriaceae.
CCUACGGGUGGCUGCAGUGGGGAAUAUCGCACAAUGGGCGCAAGCCUGAUGCAGCCAUGCCGCGUGUGUGAAGAAGGCCUUCGGGUUGUAAAGCACUUUCAGCGGGGAGGAAGGCGGUGAGGUUAAUAACCUCAUCGAUUGACGUUACCCGCAGAAGAAGCACCGGCUAACUCCGUGCCAGCAGCCGCGGUAAUACGGAGGGUGCAAGCGUUAAUCGGAAUUACUGGGCGUAAAGCGCACGCAGGCGGUCUGUCAAGUCGGAUGUGAAAUCCCCGGGCUCAACCUGGGAACUGCAUUCGAAACUGGCAGGCUAGAGUCUUGUAGAGGGGGGUAGAGUUCCAGGUGUAGCGGUGAAAUGCGUAGAGAUCUGGAGGAAUACCGGUGGCGAAGGCGGCCCCCUGGACAAAGACUGACGCUCAGGUGCGAAAGCGUGGGGAGCAAACAGGAUUAGAUACCCCAGUAGUC